GCACAUCCUGUCCCCCCCUUUUCUCAACUCUUAUCAGCGGGGACAGACAUGGGGACAGCUCAUUGGUGACGAGGGGACGAUGUACGGCAACAUCGAAUCCGGGCAGCCCGGGCAGGGGCAGGAGUGGGGGACAGGACCCUGUGGGGACAAAGCCUGCAGCGAUCUGUACCCCAUGGAGGAGAACCCCUACGAGCCCCUGGACCCCCCCAUCACUGAGCCAAGCCGGAAGCACGCACCCGACCCCCCAGCGUCCCCAGCGCGGCAGAGCUGCCCCCAGGACAGGCUGCUGCUGGUGGGGGCUGUGGCCCUGGGGGUCUCGGUGCUGCUCAACGUGUUCCUCCUCUCCCUCGGGACAAGGCAGAUCGCAGCCCUGACCGCGGCCCUGGAUGAGGCAGAGAAGCUGCAGCCCAACUCCAACACGGGUGCGCGCCA
This 432-nucleotide long non-coding RNA is filed under the name Numida meleagris (helmeted guineafowl). RNAcentral describes it as "lncRNA (ENSNMEG00000013686.1)". The record is from RNAcentral. Lineage: Eukaryota; Metazoa; Chordata; Aves; Galliformes; Numididae.